Molecule: ribosomal RNA, 253 nt
Filed under: uncultured bacterium
Lineage: Bacteria
Description: partial 16S ribosomal RNA
Rfam family: Bacterial small subunit ribosomal RNA
Source: RNAcentral
UACGUAGGGGGCUAGCGUUGUCCGGAUUUAUUGGGCGUAAAGAGCGUGUAGGCGGCCAGGUAGGUCCGUUGUGAAAACUCGAGGCUCAACCUCGAGACGUCGGCGGAAACCCUCUGGCUAGAGUCCGGAAGAGGAGAAUGGAAUUCCCGGUGUAGCGGUGAAAUGCGCAGAUAUCGGGAAGAACACCCGUGGCGAAGGCGGUUCUCUGGGACGGUACUGACGCUGAGACGCGAAAGCGUGGGGAGCGAACAGG